GCCCUCAUGGUGUAAUGGUAACACGAAGGUCUCAUAAACCAUGAGCUUCAAUUCGAAGCGCAAUCCUCAGCCCUGAGUUCGAUUCUCAGUGAGGGCA
This is a transfer RNA of Cryptococcus amylolentus CBS 6039, 97 nucleotides long. It matches the Rfam family "tRNA". Rfam says of the family: Transfer RNA (tRNA) molecules are approximately 80 nucleotides in length. Lineage: Eukaryota; Fungi; Basidiomycota; Tremellomycetes; Tremellales; Cryptococcaceae. The record is from Rfam.